UCACACUCUUAGGAACAAACUCUAAAUCUUAAAUCUCAACAAAGUUUAAAAAAAAAACUUUCAACAACGGAUCUCUUGGUUCUCGCAUCGAUGAAGAACGCAGCGUAUUGCGAUACGUAAUAUGACUUGCAGACGUGAAUCAUUGAAUCUUUGAACGCACAUUGCGCCUUAAGGUAUUCCUCAAGGCAUGCGUGAAUGAGCGAUAUUUACCCUCAAACCCUUGGUUUGGUCUUGGCCCUAAAUAUCAACCGGUACUAGAAUAAGUUUUAGAACCUACCCUACUUUCUCAUUUUCGUAAGACUACCCGCUGAACUUAAGCAUAUCAAUAAGCGGAGGAA
Molecule: unclassified non-coding RNA, 338 nt
Filed under: uncultured fungus
Lineage: Eukaryota; Fungi
Description: partial contains 18S rRNA, ITS1, 5.8S rRNA, ITS2 and 28S rRNA
Rfam family: 5.8S ribosomal RNA (bases 56-205)
Source: RNAcentral